RNAcentral lists this ribosomal RNA (301 nucleotides) under uncultured bacterium. Its description in RNAcentral is "partial 16S ribosomal RNA". It matches the Rfam family "Bacterial small subunit ribosomal RNA", at positions 509 to 807 of the family's 1533-position model. The record is from RNAcentral.
CAGUCGCCGCGGGAAUACGAAGGGGGCUAGCGUUGUUCGGAAUCACUGGGCGUAAAGGGUGCGUAGGCGGGAUCUUAAGUCAGGGGUGAAAUCCCGAGGCUCAACCUCGGAACUGCCUUUGAUACUGGGAGGCUUGAGUAUGGAAGAGGGUCGUGGAAUUCCCAGUGUAGAGGUGAAAUUCGUAGAUAUUGGGAAGAACACCGGUGGCGAAGGCGGCGACCUGGUCCAUAACUGACACUGAGGCGCGAAAGCGUGGGGAGCAAACAGGAUUAGAUACCCCUGUAGUCCCUGUCUCUUAUAC